Molecule: small RNA, 108 nt
Filed under: Erysipelotrichaceae bacterium
Lineage: Bacteria; Bacillati; Bacillota; Erysipelotrichia; Erysipelotrichales; Erysipelotrichaceae
Also listed under: 1 other name
Description: 6S RNA
Rfam family: 6S / SsrS RNA
About the family: E. coli 6S RNA was the first non coding RNA to be sequenced, but its function was unknown until recently. It consists of 184 nucleotides that fold into an extended hairpin structure with a large single-stranded internal bulge. The 6S RNA specifically associates with RNA polymerase holoenzyme containing the sigma70 specificity factor.
Source: RNAcentral
UCCUACACGAAGAGAUAAGGGAACCCGGACGUUGUGUUUUGGUGUGAAGGCCUGCUGCGUGCAGGAAUCCUAAAAAUACACACAGGGUACCCACCUGUAUUUACAGGG